RNAcentral lists this ribosomal RNA (466 nucleotides) under uncultured bacterium. RNAcentral's name for it is "partial 16S ribosomal RNA". It matches the Rfam family "Bacterial small subunit ribosomal RNA", at positions 30 to 507 of the family's 1533-position model. The record is from RNAcentral.
CGAACGCUGGCCGCGUGCUUAACACAUGCAAGUCGAACGGAAAGGCCCUGCUUUUGUGGGGUGCUCGAGUGGCGAACGGGUGAGUAACACGUGAGUAACCUGCCCUUGACUUUGGGAUAACUUCAGGAAACUGGGGCUAAUACCGGAUAGGAGCUCCUGCUGCAUGGUGGGGGUUGGAAAGUUUCGGCGGUUGGGGAUGGACUCGCGGCUUAUCAGCUUGUUGGUGGGGUAGUGGCUUACCAAGGCUUUGACGGGUAGCCGGCCUGAGAGGGUGACCGGCCACAUUGGGACUGAGAUACGGCCCAGACUCCUACGGGAGGCAGCAGUGGGGAAUAUUGCACAAUGGGCGGAAGCCUGAUGCAGCAACGCCGCGUGCGGGAUGACGGCCUUCGGGUUGUAAACCGCUUUCGCCUGUGACGAAGCGUGAGUGACGGUAAUGGGUAAAGAAGCACCGGCUAACUACGUG